Long non-coding RNA from Oncorhynchus keta (chum salmon), 609 nucleotides. RefSeq lists it as uncharacterized. The transcript is spliced from 3 exons. Lineage: Eukaryota; Metazoa; Chordata; Actinopteri; Salmoniformes; Salmonidae. The record is from RefSeq and is a predicted model, not a curated record.
GUAUAGUCUUGCUACCUCGCUACUGUUAUAGCCUCGCUACUGGUAUAGCCUCGCUACCUCGCUACUGUUAUAGCCUCGCUACUGGUAUAGCCUUGCUACCUCGCUACUGUUAUAGAUGGUAAUAGGUGCUCACGUUGCCCCUAGUGGACGUUAUCGAAGACAUCUCCCUACGAGAUGGUAAUAGGUGCUCACGUUUCCCCUAGUGGACAGUAUUGAAGGCAUCUCCCUACUAGAUGGUAAUAGUUGCUCACGUUGCCCCUAGUGGACGUUAUCGAAGACAUCUCCCUACUAGAUGGUAAUAGGUGCUCACGUUGCCCCUAGUGGACAGUAUUGAAGGCAUCUCCCUACUAGAUGGUAAUAGGUCACGUUGCCCCGAGUGGACGUUAUUGAAGACAUCUCCCUACUAGAUGGUAAUAGGUGCUCACGUUGCCCCAAGUGGACGUUAUUGAAGACAUCUCCCUACUAGAUGGCAAUAGCUGCUCACGUUGCCCCAAGUGGACGUUAUUGAAGACAUCUCCCUACUAGAUGGCAAUAGCUGCUCACGUUGCCCCUAGUGGACAGUAUUGAAGGCAUCUCCCUACUAGAUGGGAAUCGCUGCUCACUUUGCCC